UAAAAACCCCGACUUCGGAAGGGGUGUAUUUAUUAGAUACAAAACCAAUGCCCUUCGGGGCUCUUUGGUGAUUCAUGAUAACUAUACGAAUCGCACGGCCUUGCGCCGGCGAUGGUUCAUUCAAAUUUCUUCCCUAUCAACUUUCGAUGUUUGGGUAUUGGCCAAACAUGGUUGCAACGGGUAACGGAGGGUUAGGGCUCGACCCCGGAGAAGGAGCCUGAGAAACGGCUACUACAUCCAAGGAAGGCAGCAGGCGCGCAAAUUACCCAAUCCCGACUCGGGGAGGUAGUGACAAUAAAUACUGAUACAGGGCCCUUUCGGGCCUUGUAAUUGGAAUGAGUACAAUUUAAAUCCCUUAACGAGGAACAAUUGGAGGGCAAGUCUGGUGCCAGCAGCCGCGGUAAUUCCAGCUCCAAUAGCGUAUAUUAAAGUUGUUGUGGUUAAAAAGCUCGUAGUUGAACCUUGGGCCUGGCUGGCCGGUCCGCCUCACCGCGUGCACUGGUCCGGCCGGGCCUUUCCCUCUGUGGAACCCCAUACCCUUCACUGGGCGUGGCGGGGAAACAUGACAUUUACUUU
RNAcentral lists this ribosomal RNA (576 nucleotides) under uncultured eukaryote. Its description in RNAcentral is "SSU rRNA". It matches the Rfam family "Eukaryotic small subunit ribosomal RNA", at positions 174 to 758 of the family's 1831-position model. The record is from RNAcentral.